Molecule: long non-coding RNA, 197 nt
Organism: Ipomoea nil (Japanese morning glory)
Lineage: Eukaryota; Viridiplantae; Streptophyta; Magnoliopsida; Solanales; Convolvulaceae
Exons: 3
Source: RefSeq, a predicted model, not a curated record
UGCGGGACAUUGUGGCUCAACUUAAGACUCUUGGGGUAGAUAUAUCAGAUGACUUUGUCGUGUACUAUGCUUUGUACACCCUACCAUCACCAUAUGUACCCUUUUAAAUUUCUUAUAACACGCAUAAGGAAAAGUGGUCCAUAAAUGAUUUAAUGACCAUGUGUGUUCACGAAGAAGGAAGGCUUUCAAGGGAAAUG